Molecule: ribosomal RNA, 403 nt
Filed under: bacterium
Lineage: Bacteria
Description: partial 16S ribosomal RNA
Rfam family: Bacterial small subunit ribosomal RNA
Source: RNAcentral
UGGGGAAUAUUGGACAAUGGGCGCAAGCCUGAUCCAGCCAUGCCGCGUGAGUGAUGAAGGCCUUCGGGUUGUAAAGCUCUUUCACCGGAGAAGAUAAUGACGGUAUCCGGAGAAGAAGCCCCGGCUCACUUCGUGCAGCAGCCGCGGUAAUCCGAAGGGGGCUAGCGUUGUUCGGAAUUACUGGGCGUAAAGCGCACGUAGGCGGAUCGAUCAGUCAGGGGUGAAAUCACAGAGCUCAACUCUGGAACUGCCUUUGAUACUGUCGAUCUAGAGUAUGGAAGAGGUGAGUGGAAUUCCAAGUGUAGAGGUGAAAUUCGUAGAUAAUCUGAGGAACAGCAGUGGCGAAGGCGGCUCACUGGUCCAUUACUGACGCGGAGGUGCGAAAGCGUGGGGAGCAAACAGG